This 708-nucleotide ribosomal RNA is filed under the name uncultured Hymenobacter group bacterium. RNAcentral's name for it is "bacterial SSU rRNA". It matches the Rfam family "Bacterial small subunit ribosomal RNA", at positions 8 to 719 of the family's 1533-position model. The record is from RNAcentral. Lineage: Bacteria; Pseudomonadati; Bacteroidota; Cytophagia; Cytophagales; Cytophagaceae.
AGAGAUCAUGGCUCAGGAUGAACGCUAGCGGCAGGCCUAAUACAUGCAAGUCGAACGGGGUUGAGUAGCAAUACUCAAUUCAGUGGCGCACGGGUGCGUAACGCGUAUGCAACCUACCUUAAACUGGGGGAUAGCCUUCCGAAAGGGAGAUUAAUACCGCAUAAGAUCACACGAGGGCAUCUGAGAGUGAUUAAAGAUUUAUUGGUUUAAGAUGGGCAUGCGUGCCAUUAGCUAGUUGGUAGGGUAACGGCCUACCAAGGCUACGAUGGCUAGGGGUUCUGAGAGGAUGAUCCCCCACACUGGUACUGAGAUACGGACCAGACUCCUACGGGAGGCAGCAGUAGGGAAUAUUGGGCAAUGGACGCAAGUCUGACCCAGCCAUGCCGCGUGCAGGAUGAAGGCCUUCUGGGUUGUAAACUGCUUUUAUCUAGGAAGAAAACGCCCAUGCGUGGGAAACUGACGGUACUAGAUGAAUAAGCACCGGCUAACUCCGUGCCAGCAGCCGCGGUAAUACGGAGGGUGCAAGCGUUGUCCGGAUUUAUUGGGUUUAAAGGGUGCGUAGGCGGCCCGGUAAGUCAGUGGUGAAAGCCUCCAGCUCAACUGGAGAACUGCCAUUGAUACUGCCGGGCUUGAGUACAGACGAGGUUGGCGGAAUUUGAUUGCGUAGCGGUGAAAUGCAUAGAUACAAUCAAGAACUCCGAUUGCGUA